UUUUUUUUUUUUUUUUUGGAACUGGGGACCGAACCCAGGGCCUUGUGCUUCCUAGGCAAGCGCUCUACCACUGAGCGAAAUCCCCAACCCCUGAACUUCCUUCUUAUGCAGGAACAAGUCCUCUUUAUUGUUUACCAGCCACUCCCUCCAGAAUUCGAAGUUGUGUUUUAUCAUGUUGGCUUUUUCUGCAGAGAACUACGAUGGUGAGAGGGUGGAAUUUAAGUCUGAUAGUAAUACAUAAACCAUGAGACUAAGUAAGCUAACUCUUACUUCCUUGUAGAGAAUAGUGACAUUGGUACAGGAAAGAAAGAGAAAGAAAAGAAAAAUAGAAAGGGCAAGGACAAGGAAAAUGGCUCUGUAUCCACCAGUGAGACACCACCACCUCCACCACCAAAUGAAAUUAGUCCUCCACAUGCUGUGGAAGAAGAGGAAGAUGAUGAUUGGGGGGAGGAUACAACUGAGGAAGCUCAAAGGCGCAGAAUGGAUGAAAUCAGUGACCAUGCAAAAGGUCUGACACU
Molecule: long non-coding RNA, 518 nt
Filed under: Rattus norvegicus (Norway rat)
Lineage: Eukaryota; Metazoa; Chordata; Mammalia; Rodentia; Muridae
Description: long non-coding RNA NONRATT025353
Source: RNAcentral